This is a long non-coding RNA of Gopherus evgoodei (Goodes thornscrub tortoise), 100 nucleotides long. RefSeq lists it as uncharacterized. NCBI's taxonomy places the organism in Eukaryota, Metazoa, Chordata, Testudines, Testudinidae. The record is from RefSeq and is a predicted model, not a curated record. The transcript has 3 exons.
CAGCCUUCCUAACUGGAAGAUUAUUUAAGCACUGGAGCAAAUUGCCUAGGGAAUUUGUGGAAUCUCCAUCACUGGAGUUUUUUUAGAACAGGUUGGACAA